RNAcentral lists this long non-coding RNA (1435 nucleotides) under Numida meleagris (helmeted guineafowl). RNAcentral's name for it is "lncRNA (ENSNMEG00000012859.1)". The record is from RNAcentral. Lineage: Eukaryota; Metazoa; Chordata; Aves; Galliformes; Numididae.
AUGCACCUGAGUGAUUGGAAGGGGUGGAGUCAGGAUCCACCUCUUCCCAGGCCUCGUGUAAGGGUUGGUAGUGGAGGUAAGGGUAUCUUGCUGGAGAUCUUUGUGUACCUGAGGCCUUCUGAAGGUAAGCAAUUUUUCUUCCUUUGUUUUUGUAUCCAUGGCUGCUGUGUUUGGGCUUGUUCUUGUUUGUUGCAGCCUGGGAUUGUGCCUCUCUGCUGUUAUUGCAGUAUUUUCCAUCACAUUACAGCAUUACAUGUGGGAAGACCCUGGAAAAAAAACAUCCCAUGGAGAGGGCUGGUGUUGGUGGGGCAGCUGAUGUCCUCGAGUGCUUACAGUGAGAAGCACCCUUGCAUUCAUGAUGAUUUGGAAACUGAUGGUCACCAAGCCUCCACCUGCAGCCUCUGGAUCAAGUCUCAAGCAGCAUUAUGGACGUGAUCCAAGUCCCACUGCUGCCAGCAGCCAGCUGCUGUUUGCUUUUGCUCUGUGUUUACUUGAACGUGGCAAGGGCAGAAUGUGGCCUGCUUGGGAAGAUUCCCAUUCAUUUUAAGGAGCCUUUGCUUGAGCCUACAGUGAAGAGUGAACUUCCAGCAGCUUGCAGCACAUGGAGCUUACCAGUACACAGGCAACAAACUUUUGGAUAUGGGAUGUGUCAAAUGCAGCUUUGAAAGGAAGAUCUUGGUGAAGAAGGGUAUACAUAUACAAUACACAGCAAAGCAGUUAUUAAACACUUCUUCAGGUAUACGUACAGCUGAUAAAAUCCAAAGCUUCUUAUUUAUUUUAGAGAUUUGUUUUAUUAUUCUGCUCGCAAGCAACUGUAGCCUGUUAUAAGUCCCAAGGCACAAAAAUAUCUAAGAAUAGUCAAGGAAACUUAGAAUUAAUUUGUAAAAUUUUGUAAUCAUUUGCAACUUCAUUAAACACUCAGAUGACUAAUAAGACAUUAUUCUUAUCUUGAUUUAAAAUUUUAAUUGCAUGAAGUUUGGUUCCUCUGUAAUUAACACAUUGUAUAUCCCACCUAAUUCGUGAACUAAAUUGUCAUUUCCUAGUUCUUAACGUUACUUGGCUAAUUCUGCCAGUGACAAAGAAUUUUAUGUCAAAACUCCACAGCAAGUGACAUUCUGCAUGCACAAUAAUGACAAAACAAGUUAAUUUAAUGCAAAGUUGCUGAAAGACAGAGCUUUUUUAAUUGCGUAUUUGUUACCUUCAUUAAAAGGUAAGUGGCUCUUCAGUUAUGUAUUUGCCCAUUUCUUACACAUGAAAAAAGUGCUAAUGAACCUGAUUAAAAUUAAUUGAAAAGGUCCAAGAUCUGCAAAGAGAUCUAACAUCAACAGACUUCUAAUUGCUGCUAAAAGAUGGACUUAAAUAGGGUUUAGGAGUAGAUAGAAAUUCAUUCUCUCUCUCUGUUGUAAGGGAUGACUUGGAGAACGCAAAAGCACUC